Molecule: unclassified non-coding RNA, 523 nt
Filed under: Hevea brasiliensis (rubber tree)
Lineage: Eukaryota; Viridiplantae; Streptophyta; Magnoliopsida; Malpighiales; Euphorbiaceae
Source: RNAcentral
GCUGAAGUAACUCUUGCCUAUCAAUUUUGUCAACUGAACUUUUGUGCCACACGAUGUUUGUUGACUUCUCAUUGCCAAGCAUCAUUUGAAGAUCCUUUCCUGAAAUCACCGAGCAAUCCUUGGUCAAAAACGUCGCAGACUCCUCCAUUGCCUUAAUUAUAAUCCGCGAAGAUCUCAACCUCACAUCACCGCCGCGACAGAGCCCCAAAUUCUUAACCGCAUUAUUGCCGACGGAGAACCUGGCGAAUACUAACUUCGACGACUGCAACGGUCCAUAUCCAAAUUCUGGCCGGUAACCAGAUACGAAAGGCCUCGUUCCCUGUAGCGCAACCAUCUCAAAAAUAGCCGCAGUAACACAUUCGAGUUUGGCGGCAAAAAUUAAAAAAACAAAAAGAGAGAAUGUGUUUAUUAGGAUUGAUUGCGGGUGGCAGUUGUUGCUAAUUGAAUGGGCGAUGGACACGGCAGUAUGGCCGCGUAGGCAGCGGUGGAGGCACGAGUCAGAAGUGGAAGCGGUGACGUUCUU